Long non-coding RNA from Belonocnema kinseyi, 1793 nucleotides. RefSeq lists it as uncharacterized. The transcript is spliced from 4 exons. The record is from RefSeq and is a predicted model, not a curated record. Lineage: Eukaryota; Metazoa; Arthropoda; Insecta; Hymenoptera; Cynipidae.
UUUAGCCGGUCGGGAUGGUUGCUAGAUAUUUUUUACGACAUAAAAAUUAAUAAAGUUCACGAUUUACCUUACCUAAAUGCGAAAUUAUACAAGAAACACUGGUAGACAAAACUGGUCUGAGGAAAGUUUAAAAAGGGCAAUUAAAGGCGUAAGAAACCGUGAGUUAAAUUAUCGCCAAGCUCAAAAUAAAUGCGGAGUUAUGGCAUCCACACUUUGUCGCAAAGUUGCUGAAUAUGUCCAAAAUAAUAGCAUAGAAAUAGUUUGUCAGAAAGGUAGGUACAGUCAUACACCACUGGAUGUUAGAUUUAUGAAGCCUUUAGUCAUUAUUACACAGAUGAAGUGAAUCAGUGGCUCCAAGCAAAUCUAGGUUACAUAGUAACACUGAAUCAGAUAUUUCAGCUCUUCGGUAACGCAUUUCUAAAGUCAGCUACGAUGAGCACUGCCAUAAAUGGAUUUCGCAAGACAUGAAUUUUUCCUGUAAAUCCUAACGUAUUCACGGACGUGGACUUUCUUCCUGUUGAGAAGAACAUUGCGCUUGUUGAAGAUCGGAUUCCUGCUAAUCAGAAUGACUUAACGAAGGCGCAAUUGGUCGUUGAAGUGAUUCAAGAGACUGAAUGCGAAACGCAGAUGAACAAACGAUUUGAUAAAGGAAACAGCAACACUUUUCCGCAACGAUCCGAUGUUCAAGGAACUGCUUCUGUCGACACUCUUUUAUUUGCUCCUCUGAUUUCUGAUCUAAUUUCUGAAUUUAAAUCGUUUUCUCACGACAUUCAAGAGAUUAGCCGUGAAAUGCAAGAAAGUCAGGGAGCACACGUAGAAAAUAAUUUAACGAAAAGCUCAGAAGUCGAAGUGACUGCUCCUGUGAUUUCUCUUGGGUCUUCUGUGACAGUGUGCCAGAAUAAUGAAGAAGGUGAAGCCAUUGUUCCAAUCGACUGCCAGAUUUCAGACUUGAACGCUGUCGCUUUGAAUGCUCAGGAAGUUUUAGAAGAAACAUCUAAAGCUUGAGAAGAGAUUCAGCGUAAGGUCUCCAAAGAAACUGGAGAGACCAAAAACUUUCUUUCUUCUAACUCGAUUAUUGUACCACUUCGACGAACAAAUGCUCCACAGCAGCGCGGGCGUCCAAAACGAACAGCGGCAAUAAUAACCAGCCAACAGUAAAAACAGUCCCUCUCAGAAAAGCCUAAAAAGUUACAGAGUAUCUCACGAGGACGUACUUCACGAAGACGGGGCCGAUCAUGCAACAAGUCAUAUGAAUCGUCAAAAAAUAAUCGUCGAAGAGAUUCCACGUUUCUAUAAUACUGAAUUUAAUAGUUUCGUGAAUCUGCCUUGCAUUGAAGAGAAAGCACAAAUUGAAUUACCUGGUAGUACUAAAGUUAUUGAAUUCGAUUUUGCAGACUUUAAUAUCAAUCACCUUCCAGUACAAAUUGUUUGACCACAGUUAAAAGAAGAAAUAAAACAGAACGCUGGCAUGUAUCAAAUUGGAUCUCAUCCGUAUCAAAAGCCGAAGAGAACAGUGGCAAUAAGAAAUUCGAACGAAAAUUAUUUGUCCUGAAAAUCAAAAGUUUCAAUGAAGAAAAUUGCGAUAGGAGUCCCAGAAAUAAAAAUACUAAAAUAUAUUGUUAACAUUUGUAUACCGGUACACCAAUCCCAAUCAGUAUUGCAACAAGUUCCAUAUUACUCUACAGUUUCUAGUCAUUAAAAUAUCAUUUAGUAGAUUCUAAGUUGAAUCAAUCGUUAUGUUUAAAUCAUUUUAGUUGGCGUAUUAUUUGUCACCUAUUCUUUUAAAAAAAAAG